Sinocyclocheilus anshuiensis is the source of this 744-nucleotide long non-coding RNA. RefSeq lists it as uncharacterized. NCBI's taxonomy places the organism in Eukaryota, Metazoa, Chordata, Actinopteri, Cypriniformes, Cyprinidae. The transcript is spliced from 3 exons. The record is from RefSeq and is a predicted model, not a curated record.
AGGGAUGCACAGUAACCACAACAUAUACCAUGCUUCACCUUAAAUGUAUUUUUACUGUGGAUUUUUUACGUAUGUUAACCACAGCACUUGUCAUUUUACCAUAGUAACUGUUUACUGUCUACUCUUUGUAUUAAAAGCACUGUAUAACACAGCACUUACCAUGGUUUUACCACAGUGACUGUAUUUUUAAUGUGGUAUUUGUAGUUAAAGCACAUAACCACAACACUUAAUAUGGGUUUACCUCAGUAGCCGUAGUUUUACUGUGGUAUUUGUAGUUACUAAAGCACAAUAACCACAGCAUUUACCAUGGUUUUACCACAGUAACUGUGUUUUUACUCUAUACUAUUUGUAAAGCACAGUAACCACAAUGCUUGCCACGCCUUUAAUACCUUUUUGUGAAGUCAUUGUAAUUCAAUAUUUUUUUUCUGUCUUGCAGUUACGUCAGAUCACAUACUCCACAACAACCUGUAAUCCAGCAGCUCUUUUAAGAAGCCAUCUCUUAAUUAACAGGGAACUUGCACUCGAAGCUCCCAAUGCUGAUCUUGAAGAAGCUGCCAAGGAGGCUGAACAAGUCCUUCAAAGGUUCAGCCCUUCACAGCUGAAAAGGAAGACCAAAGGAAGGCCUGUCAUGGGAUUUGAAUUUGAGCAUCUUGAGCAUUUAUGGAGAAGACCAAAAGCUGCAAAGGCAAACACUUCCAAUGGUACGUCUGUGUUGAUCUGAGCACCUUGACUGAACUGUACUGC